Molecule: long non-coding RNA, 2670 nt
Organism: Alligator mississippiensis (American alligator)
Lineage: Eukaryota; Metazoa; Chordata; Crocodylia; Alligatoridae
Exons: 4
Source: RefSeq, a predicted model, not a curated record
CCCCCCCCAACCACUCAAGCCUGGAAGCAGCAAAUCCCUAUCCUAGGCCAGAUUUUCUCCCAUUUCCCCUGACUAUCCUCCCUUCCACCCCUGCCUGGAACACCACACGCCCCUGUGGACAGACAGCGAUUUAAAGUGUAUAUUAAUUUAUUUUAACAUAACCAAGAAAAAGAAUAAAGCACUCCUAGGUGGUGUUGUUAGCAAUAUAUCCUGCACAAGGGCCGCCCAACCAACCUCUCGUUCAGGAUAGAUCCUCAGUCCCUGUGCUGCUUCUGCUAUAGGGGGUAGGCAGUAUCCACUAAUAUAACCAGGGGAAUGGCAACACUGGAUCACUGUCUCCUCUGCACUGGGUACAUAAUGUCCUUUCUCCAUGAGGCCAGGCAGAGGGGACUUUCUGAACAAAGCCCAGUCAAAUUCCAUUUCUUCACUUUCCUCUGUGCAUUACAAGUCCGCUGUGUACCUGUAACUUCUCCUUCUUAUUGUCAUUAAUGUUGUUAAACCAGGAACCGAACUUGCCAGUGAACACUGUACCUAUCCUUCCCAAGCAUUGCAGCAGCAAUCCACAGGUAAACAGCAUUUGCAGAAGCAGUACUGUCAUCUCAUCCUCCUCCUCCUGCUCACCCAUGUCCUCCAUAUUCUCCAUGUUGGAGGACUCUUCAGUGUUGUUCUUCAUUGUCAUGUAUUUCAUCCUCAUUCUCCAUUUUUCCCCCUCUGUCAACAGCGGUUUCCCACCUGUCAGCACCAAGCUGGGGGCAGGAACUCUAGGGUGUUGUGUGGUCUGGAGCUUGGUGUAGCUGUUUUUUCAAUACUUCACCCUGGUACCCCAUGGCAUUGGGGCUUUUGCACAUCCUUUCUUCCUUCAUCCUAAGUUUAGCAGCCACUGGUGCUCUGAUGUAAUCAAGCUUGCAAGCAAAAAAUGUUUUCCCUACACCUCUCCUGGUCAUGUAGGCUACUCAAAACUUUUGCCACUUUAGGGAAAACAGGCUGUGCUUCUGUAAUAAAAUUAUUUUGCACAAGGAGGCAGGUAGGUAUCAUUUUUUGCAAUGUUCCAGGCCAUUGAAUAGCAAUCCCAAAAUACAGUGGCCUUACUUACCUCAUCACCGGGACUUUUUUUGUUAUUAAACUGGGUGCUUCAUCACCUUUGGGUGUUUUGACACUUACAAGUAAUGACUUCACAAUCCUUGGAAUUUCCCCAAACCCUCAUGCAAGCACAGCCUGAGUAUAAAGGCACCCCCCCUCAAAAAAAAAUUGCCAGUCCCCUUUCACAAAUCACUUGUGCUGUUGAUCACAAACUGCUUUGCCAUGUCUCAGAAAGCCAAGGCUAACAGUAUGGAGCUUAUGGCCCAGGGAACUGAUACCUCCAACACCUGUGGAUCCAACUGGACCUGGGAAGAACUGGAGGACUUAACUGACAUUUUGUCAGAGCAAAAGAUCAUAGACAAGCUGUAAAGUAGGAGGAAUAAGUCUGUUUAUGUAGAUCACAAAAAGCAUGCAGGCAUGAGGGCACAAUCAUGACUGGAACCAGGUCUGGUACAAGGUCAAGUCCCUGAGAUCAGCAUUUUACAGAGCCAAAGAGAUGAGCUCUUGUUCUGGGGCACAACACACAAUUGGUCCCUUCUAUGAAAAGCUAUCCAUCAUUCUCUCCAAGGAUGCAGGUGAUAAUGCAGGUAUGGAAACUUUCAGCACGGGGGUUGGGCUGGUGGAGGGGGAGGUAGAGGAGGAGGAAGAGGAGGCAGCAGCAGCCCUUCCUGAGAGUGAAACCAUGAGCAGCAUUUAUUAUCUGUAUGGAGACUUCUCCCUGCUGUCUGAUGACCAUGAGUGGCAGGAUGAACCAUUUCAACAUACACAUAGUGCCACUUAGCCCUGCUCCACGGACUAACACAGAUAAUGAAGCAGAGGAGGUGGAGGGUUAAGAAGAAACCCAAGCAGAAAAUACAUCAUCUACUGUUACUGAGACCCAAGAACAUGCUCAACUUGGUAAGUCUCUUGUUACAUUCCUCUUGCCACUGCCAGGCAACUCCCGAGUUCGUGCUGGUUGGGUUUGGGGAGCCAGGGGGAAGGGGAGAAAUUCAUGUGUUGCUGUAGGUAGGUCACCAUGUGCUUUCUGUGGUGGUGCAUGCCAGGUUUGAUAGCUCAUAAUAUAACAGAUGCCAAACUAAUUAUUUGCUUUAAUCAUUUUUUUGCAGCUAGCAUGGGCAGUGUCAGCUGUGGACCUGUUUCCAAAGCUAGUACUUGGAUGUGGUUGUCAUGGAGGACCUAAACUACCCUGACAUCUGCUGGGAGGAGCAGUCAGCCAAAUCCAACCAUUCACAUUGGUUCUUAACCUGCACGUAGGACCUUCACUUAAUGCAGGAGGGUAGCAUCUCCUGUUGAUGUCACCUGGUCACAGCUGUAGAUGGGCAUGGCUGAUGAACUGCGUGGGCAUCUCUUCCCAGUGUGCUUCAUCGCUUGUCCGACAUCCUGCAGGCAUUACAGGGAGUUCCUCAACUCUGGCAAGAAUCCUGACUUGUGCAGAGCCCAGAGCAGGCUAUCGCAUCCCCAGGAUCAAGACAGUCUGGGACCAGAGGAACUAUGUGGGGUGGUGGCUGCUGCCUAGAGCUGAUGUGAAGUGAUCAUCCUCUCUGCUCUGUCCUAUUGCCUGCCUCUGCAAGUAUCCUUAAAUAAAGCUUG